Molecule: ribosomal RNA, 473 nt
Filed under: uncultured bacterium
Lineage: Bacteria
Description: partial small subunit ribosomal RNA
Rfam family: Bacterial small subunit ribosomal RNA
Source: RNAcentral
AGGAUAAACGCUGGCGGCGUGCCUAACACAUGCAAGUCGAACGCGCUUUCGGGCUUCGGUGCGAGAGCGAGUGGCGGACGGGUGAGUAACACAUGGGUACCUGCCUUUCAGUGAGGGAUACCGGCGAGAAAUCGCCGACAAUACCGCAUGGGCUUGUGGGAACACAAGCAAAGUGGCGUAAGCCACGCUGGAAGAUGGGCCUGUGGCCGAUUAGCUAGUUGGGGGGGUAAUGGCCUCCCAAGGCGACGAUCGGUAGCUGGUCUGAGAGGACGAUCAGCCACACUGGGAUUGAGACACGGCCCAGACUCCUACGGGAGGCAGCAGUGGGGAAUCUUGCACAAUGGGCGAAAGCCUGAUGCAGCAACGCCGCGUGAGGGACGAAGGCUUUCUGAGUUGUAAACCUCUUUCAGCAGGGACGAUAGUGACGGUACCUGCAGAAGAACGCCCGGCCAACGUACGUGCCAGCACGCCGC